RNAcentral lists this long non-coding RNA (288 nucleotides) under Lynx pardinus (Iberian lynx). Lineage: Eukaryota; Metazoa; Chordata; Mammalia; Carnivora; Felidae. The record is from RNAcentral.
AACAACUGGAGACUCCAAGCCAGUACACAUGCCUAACAUUCCUUUGUAUUUUCUACUUGCAGGAUAAAAAUGUCAAGGGGAAACCAGAGUCACAUCACAGAAUUCCUCCUUCUGAGACUGACCAGUGACCCUAAGCACCAGGAGUGGCUCUUUGCCAGCUUUCUGGCCAUGUAUCUGGUCAACGUGGCUGGCAACUCAGUCAUCAUUGCAGCCAUCCGGGGGGACACCCGCCUCCACACCCCCAUGUACUUCUUCCUCUCCAAUCUGUCCCUGGUGGACAUCUGCUUU